GUCGAGCGAAGCACUCGGCCUUGAAUCUUCGGAGGAAAGGCGGUUUGACUGAGCGGCGGACGGGUGAGUAACGCGUGGGCAACCUGCCCCAUACGGGGGGAUAACAGUUAGAAAUGACUGCUAAUACCGCAUAAGACCGCGGUGCCGCAUGGCACAGCGGUAAAAACUCCGGUGGUAUGGGAUGGGCCCUCGUCUGAUUAGCUAGUUGGCGGGGUAACGGCCCACCAAGGCGACGAUCAGUAGCCGACCUGAGAGGGCGACCGGCCACAUUGGGACUGAGACACGGCCCAAACUCCUACGGGAGGCAGCAGUGGGGAAUAUUGCACAAUGGGGGAAACCCUGAUGCAGCGACGCCGCGUGAGCGAUGAAGUAUUUCGGUAUGUAAAGCUCUAUCAGCAGGGAAGAAGAUGACGGUACCUGACUAAGAAGCCCCGGCUAACUACGUGCCAGCAGCCGCGGUAAUACGUAGGGGGCAAGCGUUAUCCGGAUUUACUGGGUGUAAAGGGAGCGUAGACGGCGAUGCAAGCCAGAUGUGAAAGCCCGGGGCUCAACCCCGGGACUGCAUUUGGAACUGUGUGGCUGGAGUGUCGGAGAGGCAGGCGGAAUUCCUAGUGUAGCGGUGAAAUGCGUAGAUAUUAGGAGGAACACCAGUGGCGAAGGCGGCCUGCUGGACGAUGACUGACGUUGAGGCUCGAAAGCGUGGGGAGCAAACAGGAUUAGAUACCCUGGUAGUCCACGCCGUAAACGAUGACUGCUAGGUGUCGGGCGGCAAAGCCGUUCGGUG
This 784-nucleotide ribosomal RNA is filed under the name uncultured bacterium. RNAcentral describes it as "bacterial SSU rRNA". It matches the Rfam family "Bacterial small subunit ribosomal RNA", at positions 61 to 845 of the family's 1533-position model. The record is from RNAcentral.